RNAcentral lists this ribosomal RNA (153 nucleotides) under Kondoa thailandica. RNAcentral describes it as "5.8S rRNA". The stretch from base 1 to 61 matches the Rfam family "Eukaryotic small subunit ribosomal RNA", at positions 1606 to 1666 of the family's 1831-position model. Lineage: Eukaryota; Fungi; Basidiomycota; Agaricostilbomycetes; Agaricostilbales; Kondoaceae. The record is from RNAcentral.
AGGAAUUCCUAGUAAGCGCAAGUCAUCAGCUUGCGUUGAUUACGUCCCUGCCCUUUUUUCAUUUUAAACGCUUGAUGUACAAGGGGUUCAAAGUGUCUUGGUAAAAGAUGCUAGUAGUGAACACGGUAUUACUAUUUGUCAACUUGCCAGACC